This 1192-nucleotide ribosomal RNA is filed under the name Toxotes chatareus (largescale archerfish). RNAcentral's name for it is "partial 16S ribosomal RNA". It matches the Rfam family "Bacterial large subunit ribosomal RNA", at positions 593 to 2558 of the family's 2925-position model. Lineage: Eukaryota; Metazoa; Chordata; Actinopteri; Toxotidae. The record is from RNAcentral.
CAAAACUCGUACCUUUUGCAUCAUGAUUUAGCCAGAACAUCCAAGCAAAGAGCACUUUAGUUUGAUGCCCCGAAACUAGUGUGAGCUACUUCAAGACAGCCUGUUUACAGGGCAAACCCGUCUCUGUGGCAAAAGAGUGGGAAGAGCUUCAAGUAGCGGUGACAGACCUACCGAACCUAGUUAUAGCUGGUUGCCUAAGAACUGGAUAGAAGUUCAGCCUCCCGGCUUCUCCACAAGCCGUGAGAGUUAGUCAAAGGGGGUACAGCCCCUUUGAAUCAAGAUACAACUUUUCCAGGAGGGUAAAGAUCAUAUUAAACCAAGGCAGAAUGUUUAGGUGGGCCUAAAAGCAGCCAUCCUUAAAGAAAGCGUUAAAGCUCGAACAUAAUACUGAUAACCAAAUCUCAACCCCCUAGUCUUAUUAGGCCUUCCUAUGCCCACAUAGGAGUGAUAAUGCUAAAAUGAGUAAUAAGAGAGCCCUCUCUCCCCGCACACGUGUAAAUCGGAACGGACCCCCCACCGAAACUUAAACGGCCCCAAACAAAGAGGGUACUGAAUAACCACUAGAAAAUCAUUCACCGUUAACCCUACACUGGCGUGCCCCUCGGGAAAGACUAAAAGAAAAAGAAGGAACUCGGCAAACAAGCCUCGCCUGUUUACCAAAAACAUCGCCUCUUGUAAAAUAAGAGGUCCUGCCUGCCCAAUGACACACUGUUCAACGGCCGCGGUAUUUUGACCGUGCGAAGGUAGCGUAAUCACUUGUCUUUUAAAUGAAGACCUGUAUGAAUGGCAAGACGAGGGCUUAACUGUCUCCUUUUUCAAGUCAAUGAAAUUGAUCUCCCCGUGCAGAAGCGGGGAUAACUACAUAAGACGAGAAGACCCUAUGGAGCUUUAGAUGAUGAAACAGACCACGUCAAAGCAACCCUAAAUAAGGGACUGAACUAACUGGCCACUGUUUUUAUGUCUUCGGUUGGGGCGACCAUGGGGAAAUAAAAAACCUCCACGUGGAAUAGGAGCACUCCCAGAAUUAAGAGCUACAGCUCUAACUAACAGAAUUUCUGACCAAAAAUGAUCCGGCAGUGCCGAUCAACGAAUCAAGUUACCCUAGGGAUAACAGCGCAAUCCCCUUUUAGAGCCCAUAUCGACAAGGGGGUUUACGACCUCGAUGUUGGAUCAGGACAUCCUAAUGGUGCAG